Molecule: ribosomal RNA, 116 nt
Filed under: Pteropus alecto (black flying fox)
Lineage: Eukaryota; Metazoa; Chordata; Mammalia; Chiroptera; Pteropodidae
Also listed under: 1 other name
Source: RNAcentral
GUCUAUGGCCAUGCCACCCUGAACAACCCGGAUGUCUGCUCUCAGAAGCUAAGCAGGGUUGGGCCUGGUUAGUACUUGGAUGGGAGACCACCUAGGAAGACCAGGUGCUGUAGGCA